This 471-nucleotide ribosomal RNA is filed under the name uncultured bacterium. RNAcentral's name for it is "SSU rRNA". It matches the Rfam family "Bacterial small subunit ribosomal RNA", at positions 26 to 507 of the family's 1533-position model. The record is from RNAcentral.
AGGAUGAACGCUGGCGGCGUGCCUAACACAUGCAAGUCGAACGCUCUCCAUUCGGUAGCAAUACUGAUGAAGAGGGAGUGGCGAACGGGUGAGUACCACGUGAGCAACCUGCCCCGAAGACUGGGACAACACCGGGAAACCGGUGCUAAUACCGGAUAUCCCUAUCGGAUCGCAUGAUCUGAUAAGGAAAUGGAUUCCGCUUCGGGAGGGGCUCGCGGCCUAUCAGCUAGUUGGUGAGGUAAUAGCUCACCAAGGCAUCGACGGGUAGCUGGUCUGAGAGGACGAUCAGCCACACUGGGACUGAGACACGGCCCAGACUCCUACGGGAGGCAGCAGUGGGGAAUCUUGCGCAAUGGGCGAAAGCCUGACGCAGCAACGCCGCGUGGAGGACGAAUGCUUUCUGAGUUGUAAACUCCUUUCAGCAGGGACAUUGUGACGGUACCUGCAGAAGAAGCACCGGCCAACUACGUG